CCUACGGGGGGCUGCAGUGAGGAAUAUUGGUCAAUGGGCGCAAGCCUGAACCAGCCAAGCAGCGUGAAGGAUGACUGCCCUACGGGUUGUAAACUUCUUUUAUAAAGGAGUAAAGUGAGACACGUGUGCCUUUUUGUAUGUACUUUAUGAAUAAGGAUCGGCUAACUCCGUGCCAGCAGCCGCGGUAAUACGGAGGAUCCGAGCGUUAUCCGGAUUUAUUGGGUUUAAAGGGAGCGUAGCUGGUUUGUUAAGUCAGUGGUGAAAGUUUGGGGCUCAACCUUAAAAUUGCAAUUGAUACUGUCAGCCUUGAGUACAGUUGAGGUAGGCGGAAUUCGUGGUGUAGCGGUGAAAUGCUUAGAGAUCACGAAGAACACCGAUUGCGAAGGCAGCUUACUAAACUGCCACUGACAUUGAGGCUCGAAAGUGUGGGGAUCAAACAGGAUUAGAUACCCUAGUAGUC
RNAcentral lists this ribosomal RNA (460 nucleotides) under uncultured bacterium. RNAcentral describes it as "partial 16S ribosomal RNA". It matches the Rfam family "Bacterial small subunit ribosomal RNA", at positions 338 to 795 of the family's 1533-position model. The record is from RNAcentral.